UACCUGCAGCUCAAGUGGUAACCGCUAUUAUUGGGCCUAAAGCGUCCGUAGCCGGUUUGGUAAAUAUCUGGGUAAAUCGUGAGGCUUAACUUCACGAAUUUCGGAUAGACUGCCAGACUUGGGAUCGGGGGAGGUCAGAGGUACUCCAGGGGUAGCGGUGAAAUGUUGUAAUCCUUGGAGGACCACCGGUAGCGAAGGCGUCUGACUAGAACGAGUCCGACGGUGAGGGACGGAGCCCUGGGGCGCAAACCGGAUUAGAUACCCGGGUAGUCCAGGGUGUAAACAAUGUGGGCUUUGUAUUGGAGGUUCCACGUGGGCGUCCAGUGCAGAAGAGAAGUUGUUAAGCCCACCGCCUGGGAAGUACGGUCGCAAGGCUGAAACUUAAAGGAAUUGGCGGGGAGCACAGCAACGGGAGGAGCGUGCGGUUU
Molecule: ribosomal RNA, 428 nt
Filed under: uncultured archaeon
Lineage: Archaea
Description: bacterial SSU rRNA
Rfam family: Archaeal small subunit ribosomal RNA
Source: RNAcentral